RNAcentral lists this long non-coding RNA (208 nucleotides) under Lathyrus oleraceus (garden pea). Its description in RNAcentral is "Pisum sativum (pea) long non-coding RNA (PSAT_LNC002016)". The record is from RNAcentral. Lineage: Eukaryota; Viridiplantae; Streptophyta; Magnoliopsida; Fabales; Fabaceae.
AAUGGAAGAAGUAUAGUGAUUAAGAAAAUGUGGAUUUUAUGUGUUUUUGUAUAGUGUAAAUUAAGAUGGAUUUUUUUUGAAUUAAGAUGAUGAUUUAAGACUAUUAAGGUGGAAAUUAUUUUAUAGGGUUUUGGGACUAUUAAGAUUAUUAUUUGAAUUAAGAUGAUGAUUUGGUUCCUAUUUUGUUGUGGAAAUGAUUUGAAAGUUU